UGCUGGAGGGAUCAGGGACGGUGUGUGGUUUGCGUCUCCCAGCAAAGGCUUGCGCCCAGCGGUUUGGGGCUCUGAAACCCACAGCCCCACCGGGGAGCUGACCCCGAUGGCACCCCAGUACAUGCCCGUCAUCUCUGGGGCUGUGAGUCAAGCCGUGGGCGCCAGGGAGAGCCGCGGUGUUAGGCUGGCCAUGCCAGGGAGCUGGGGGGGCCCCCGGGGCUGGGCUGUGCCGCAGCUCCUGGGACUCGGCCACCCUGUCCGUCAGGAGCAGCAGCAUUUUUGGGAGAGGUAUCACGCGUGCUUCCCGCCUGCCGCCUCCCUGGACCGGUUUGUUUGCCAGCCAUUCCCGGCGGGUGCGCCGUGCCGCGCUGUGCCAUGCCGUGCUAGGCUGCUUUGAUCUGCCGGUGCUGGUUCCUGGCGCUGGGCUGGGAAAAGCCAGGAACCGCAAGGUGCAGCGGGCAGGGAGCCGGUGAGGGCAGGGAAAUGGUGCAGGCAGCACCGCUUUUGCCAGGCAAGGAGAGUGUUUGUAACCUCCCCAAGUCCCCCAGAAAGGGCACUUCCCUGCGAUGCGGUGGCCCGUGUCGGCCAUCAAUCAGCCCUGUGGGGAUUUGGCCCUGGUUUGGGACCCUGCAAGGCACCGUGUCUCCUGGGGGGGUCAGGAGGCAUUUGCAAGCUGCUCACAGCCCAGCCGGCAGCAGUGCGGAGGCAAGCUGGGAGCCGUGGCCUGGAACGGGCUCGCUGGAGUCAGCUCGGGAUUUAUUACCCUGCCAGUGGCUGCCGGGCAAAGGUGACAGUGACUAAUGGCUUGUUACACGCCUGCCACAUCUCAUCUGUGCGCCGUGGCCGGCGCUCCCAGCCCUGGUGUGCGGGCAGCCUGUGCCUGCCCUCCCUUCCCCAGGGGGACGGGGCCAAACCCCCCCUGUGCUCCCAUGGGGACCUCGGCCAGAGCGGGUAACAUCUGGCUGAAUUGGCACAGUAAUCUGUCCCCAUGCUGAGGAUGGAGACCUGCUCCAGUGGCUGGCGUCCCCAAGGGUACCACCACAUCUCGGGGUUUCCCAGCUGGUGGCGUGUCCCAGGGUGCCCUGGUGAGCCUCGUGUGACACAUGGGACUUUCUGGCGCAUGAAACUCUCUUGUGGUUGCAAAACCAUGAGCCGUGCUUGCCACCGCUCAGCUGGCCAGGGUCACCGGGCUGGGACGCGGAGGAGAGCGUUGCGUGUGCGGAUGGAUGCUGACAAAGCCACAAAUGCAUUCACUAGGAAAAUUAAAAAAUUAACAGGCAUUGGCUCACUCUAGAUUAGUAAAGGCAAGGAGAUAAAAGCGGCUCUUUAUACCUUGUGAGAAUUGCUGAUAAGGGCAUUUGUUCCUCUGUAUUCUUUAAAAAGAAUGCAAUAAAAAUUUAAAAUAGAACGGGAAAAGAGAGACAGGGAGGGGGGAAGCGCUGGUGGUGCUGGCGAGCAGGCUGCGGGCAGCAGUGGUGGGGCAGGCGCUGGGGCCCACUGGAAGAAGAGGAGGAGGAGGAGAAGGAUGGAGGGGAAGCAGAGGCGAGGGUGAGCUGAGAUGGGGUUCAGGUGGGUGGGUGGGUCUGUAACUUCUUCCACUUGCGAGUGGGCUGAGCCCCACCCCGCUCGUUGCGCUGAUGUUUCCAAAUUCCCAGAGCCUGCUUAGAGGUCCAAGCAGUUUUGAGGUGGGGGUCAAAUGGCUGGGUGCCACCUCCCAACCUCUUGUCCCCAGUGCUGCAUUUGGUGGGGACAGAGGGAAGGCGAGGGGUGCUCCAGAGUGAGCUCUGUGCCCCAUGCCAUGGGGUUCACAAAGCCCAGGGUGACCUCCAUCCCCUAGCCUCAGGAUGGCCUUUGUCCCCCCCACCAUGGGGACCCCCAGCUCCAGGGUAACCUCUGUCCCCCACACCGUGGGGUCUCUCAACCCCAGGAUGACCUGUGUUCCCCAUGCCAAAGGGUUCCCCAAGCCCAGGGUGACCUCUGUCCCCUACGCCGUAGCCAUAGGUGCCCCUUGCCUUCCCUCCGUCCCCCCAAAUGCAUUGUCCUGUAUGUUGGUCUCAGGGCUGUUACCCCCCCAUCACCCUAACUCUUGGGGGCACCUUCCCCGAUGCUGCAUCAUGACCCCCAUAGGGGGGUUCCCCCAUUCCUGCUGCACCCGACCCCCAUAGUGGGGGUCCCCCCGCCUUCCCCAGCAUCCCUCCUAGCAGACCCCCGUUCCGGUGCCUUCCUCCCCCGGGGUGGUGAAGGUGCCAUCCGCCCGGCCCCCUCCCCCGUCGGGGCGCUGCCCUGCCCGGCCCGGCCCCCGGUGAGUCACGCUCCAGCCGUGCGGCUCCCGGGGCGGCGGGCGGGCGCCGAGGGAAGCAGGAAGCGGCGGGGGGAAGGCUCAGCUCGGCUCUGCUCCGCUCCCCUCCCUUCACCGCCCUCCCCAUGGAGGAGCGCAGCCCCCGCUGGACAACGCGGACGACGGGGAUGACAUCUUCCUGGGGACAACAUCUUCCCAGUGAUGACAUCAUCCCAGGGACAUCUACUUUCUAGAGACAUCUGCUUCCUGGGCACAUCUUCCUGGGGACCACGUCAUCCCAGGGACUUCUCCUUCCUGGGAUAUCUGCCUCCAGGGGACAUCUCCUUCCUGGUGACAACAUCUUCCCAGGAACAUCUCCUUCCUGGGGACAGCAUCAUCCCAGGGACAUCUGCUUCCUGGGGACAUGUUCUUGGGGACCAUAUCUUCUCAGGGAUGUCUUCUUCCUGGGAUAUCUCCCUCCUAGAAACAUGUAUCCCUCCUGGGGACAUCUUCUUCCCAGUGACAUCUCCUUCCCAGAGACAAUCUGCUUUCUGGGGACAUCUUCCCAGGGACCAUCUCCUUUCCAGGGACCAUAUCUUCCCAGGGAUGUCUCCUUCCCAGUGACAUCUCCUUCCCGGGGACAUCUCUUUCCCAGUGACAACAUCUUCCUAGGGACCUCUCCUUCCUUAGGGAUCUCUCCUUCCUAUGGACCUCUCCUUGCUGGGGACAUCUUCCUCCUGCCACCCUGGGACACAUCUCUGUUAGAAGAGGAUGAUUUCCAGGCACUUGGCCUUUCUACCUCCCCAUGCAUGUACCUUGGCUCUGCUUCCAGUGUUUGCCCAUCACCUGAGCAGGAGCCAUCCCACCCACGUCCCCUCCUUGAAUCCCGUCUGGGCUCCCCUCGUCCCUGAUGUGACAGCUCCGGGGAGGUGGAAAAACUUCGUGUGGCGCAGAAAUUAAAUCAGAGGGGUGGAAAGCCCUGGGGAGGCGGGUGUUCGGCUGCGGGUACCACGGCGAUGUGCUGCUUGGACAAACGGACGAGGUGGUUGGAAAAAAACCGAGAGGAAACCCAAGAGCUUGAUGGUUUGUCUGCGGUGUCCUAAGGUGGCUGCUCCCGGGCUGGCGGUGACAGGUUUAUUGGCAGGCAGAGCGGGCUGGAAGGAUUGUCGGCUAUUUACAGUGCUGGGGCCGUGACUUUGCGAGCAGACAGUUAACAUAAAUUCACAUGAUGGAUCAGUUAUCACUUCAUUGAACUUGUGGCGGAUCCAUUGAAGGCUGUGCAGUAACAUACUGUUUCCUGGCUCCGCGCAGCGCUGGGAUACAUUAAAUACACUUUAUUUAUAGCUUACCAUUGCUGCACUGUGGGCAGGAGAAUGCAGCUUUUGCAACUAUCAUCUAAUUUUAUGAUGAGCAUUAAAGCAAGGCCUAUAAUUUGCACCUUUUUAUUCAUUAGACACUGGUGCAGCCAUAAGUCAAGAAUGCCCAGGGAUUUAGAUGCAGAUCCAGAAGAUAAACUAUUGACAAGCCAGAUGUAUUUUUACAUUAGUGUGCCUUUACAAUAGUUUAUGUUGAGAGUGGAAUAUAAAUUGCAUUAUUAAAUACGAACCACUCUUGGAACCGCUGCUUCUGCGCAGGCAGGGCGGGAUUCGGAGCCCCGGAGCAAGGAGGCUUUUCCUAAUGGCUUGAGAUUGGGUGGGGGAUUUUUAUUUGGGUUUAUAUUCACCCUGGACCAGGGGGCUGUCCCUUGGGGGAGCUGGUGACCCUGUGGAAUGUCCCUACACGGAGCAAAGCCAUCCCAGCCAUGUGUCCCCAUCGGACACCUCCGCUCGGCCACUGCCACCCGGCCAGCAGCGAGUUAAAUCCUUUUGUUUCCGAGGCAAUACAGUUUAUAUUAUGAGCAUGAAUAAAAGAUGGUUGUGCUAGGGGUAGCUGUCAGGAUCUUCGCCGCCUAUAAAGGCUUCUACUGUAGCUUGACAGUAAAAGACUGUGUUUGGGGACUGAUGUGGUUUCUCAAAGGAGCUAAAUAAAUAAGGGGCGCUUAUUUUUACACC
Molecule: long non-coding RNA, 4329 nt
Organism: Columba livia (rock pigeon)
Lineage: Eukaryota; Metazoa; Chordata; Aves; Columbiformes; Columbidae
Exons: 2
Source: RefSeq, a predicted model, not a curated record